GAGUUUGAUCAUGGCUCAGAUUGAACGCUGGCGGCAGGCCUAACACAUGCAAGUCGAGCGGAUGACGGGAGCUUGCUCCUUGAUUCAGCGGCGGACGGGUGAGUAAUGCCUGGGAAUCUGCCUGGUAGUGGGGGACAACGUUUCGAAAGGAACGCUAAUACCGCAUACGUCCUACGGGAGAAAGCAGGGGACCUUCGGGCCUUGCGCUAUCAGAUGAGCCUAGGUCGGAUUAGCUAGUUGGUGGGGUAAUGGCUCACCAAGGCGACGAUCCGUAACUGGUCUGAGAGGAUGAUCAGUCACACUGGAACUGAGACACGGUCCAGACUCCUACGGGAGGCAGCAGUGGGGAAUAUUGGACAAUGGGCGAAAGCCUGAUCCAGCCAUGCCGCGUGUGUGAAGAAGGUCUUCGGAUUGUAAAGCACUUUAAGUUGGGAGAAGGGCAGUAAGUUAAUACCUUGCUGUUUUGACGUUACCGACAGAAUAAGCACCGGCUAACUCUGUGCCAGCCGCCG
This 512-nucleotide ribosomal RNA is filed under the name bacterium enrichment culture clone ALO1_GLFRUDD03G5GFJ. RNAcentral describes it as "bacterial SSU rRNA". It matches the Rfam family "Bacterial small subunit ribosomal RNA", at positions 9 to 517 of the family's 1533-position model. The record is from RNAcentral.